RNAcentral lists this ribosomal RNA (252 nucleotides) under uncultured microorganism. RNAcentral's name for it is "partial 16S ribosomal RNA". It matches the Rfam family "Bacterial small subunit ribosomal RNA", at positions 9 to 265 of the family's 1533-position model. The record is from RNAcentral.
GAGUUUGAUCAUGGCUCAGGAUGAACGCUAGCGGCGCGCCUAAUGCAUGCAAGUCGAGCGAUGAGGCACCUUUGGGUGUACAUCAGCGGCAGACGGGUGAGUAACACGUAGGUGACCUACCCCGAAGACGGGGAUAACAGGUGGAAACAUCUGCUAAUACCCGACUGGACUCUGAGCGGAAGCGAGGAGUAAAGGCUACGGUGCUUCGGGAGGGGCCGUGCGGCCUAUCAGCUAGUUGGUAGGGUAACGGCC